RNAcentral lists this ribosomal RNA (1477 nucleotides) under metagenome. RNAcentral's name for it is "bacterial SSU rRNA". It matches the Rfam family "Bacterial small subunit ribosomal RNA". The record is from RNAcentral.
AGAGUUUGAUCCUGGCUCAGGACGAACGCUGGCGGCGCGCCUAACACAUGCAAGUCGAACGGAGCUGAGAGGAGCUUGCUUUUCUUAGCUUAGUGGCGAACGGGUGAGUAACGCGUGAGUAACCUGCCCUGGAGUGGGGGACAACAGUUGGAAACGACUGCUAAUACCGCAUAAGCCCACGGAUCCGCAUGGAUCUGCGGGAAAAGGAUUUAUUCGCUUCAGGAUGGACUCGCGUCCAAUUAGCUAGUUGGUGAGGUAACGGCCCACCAAGGCGACGAUUGGUAGCCGGACUGAGAGGUUGAACGGCCACAUUGGGACUGAGACACGGCCCAGACUCCUACGGGAGGCAGCAGUGGGGGAUAUUGCACAAUGGGGGAAACCCUGAUGCAGCGACGCCGCGUGGAGGAAGAAGGUUUUCGGAUUGUAAACUCCUGUCGUUAGGGACGAUAAUGACGGUACCUAACAAGAAAGCACCGGCUAACUACGUGCCAGCAGCCGCGGUAAAACGUAGGGUGCAAGCGUUGUCCGGAAUUACUGGGUGUAAAGGGAGCGCAGGCGGACCGGCAAGUUGGAAGUGAAAACUAUGGGCUCAACCCAUAAAUUGCUUUCAAAACUGCUGGCCUUGAGUAGUGCAGAGGUAGGUGGAAUUCCCGGUGUAGCGGUGGAAUGCGUAGAUAUCGGGAGGAACACCAGUGGCGAAGGCGACCUACUGGGCACCAACUGACGCUGAGGCUCGAAAGCAUGGGUAGCAAACAGGAUUAGAUACCCUGGUAGUCCAUGCCGUAAACGAUGAUUACUAGGUGUUGGAGGAUUGACCCCUUCAGUGCCGCAGUUAACACAAUAAGUAAUCCACCUGGGGAGUACGACCGCAAGGUUGAAACUCAAAGGAAUUGACGGGGGCCCGCACAAGCAGUGGAGUAUGUGGUUUAAUUCGAAGCAACGCGAAGAACCUUACCAAAUCUUGACAUCCCGGUGACAAAGUAUGUAAAGUACUCUUUCUUCGGAACACCGGUGACAGGUGGUGCAUGGUUGUCGUCAGCUCGUGUCGUGAGAUGUUGGGUUAAGUCCCGCAACGAGCGCAACCCCUAUCCUUAGUAGCCAGCAGUAAGAUGGGCACUCUAGGGAGACUGCCGGGGAUAACCCGGAGGAAGGUGGGGAUGACGUCAAAUCAUCAUGCCCCUUAUGAUUUGGGCUACACACGUGCUACAAUGGCGUAAACAAAGGGAAGCGAGCCUGCGAGGGGGAGCAAAUCCCAAAAAUAACGUCUCAGUUCGGAUUGUAGUCUGCAACUCGACUACAUGAAGCUGGAAUCGCUAGUAAUCGCAGAUCAGAAUGCUGCGGUGAAUACGUUCCCGGGUCUUGUACACACCGCCCGUCACACCAUGGGAGUCGGAAAUGCCCGAAGCCGGUGACCUAACCGCAAGGAAGGAGCCGUCGAAGGCAGGUCUGAUAACUGGGGUGAAGUCGUAACAAGGUA